GGAGCUUUGCCUUUGCCCGCAGUAGCGCUAUUCCCUUUCCAGGGUCUCUUGCGCGGGGCGCUGUCUUGGUCGGAGAUAUGGGAAUCUUCAGAAUCAUAGGGUUGUCGUGAAGAGGGGUGCACCUCUGUGGUACGUUCAUGGUAGGCUGCCAAAGCCUUAGGAAUGGACUCCGCGAUAGUGGAGAAAAGCCAUUCCUUAAGUUCGGCAGAGAUGGC
Pelobates cultripes (western spadefoot toad) is the source of this 215-nucleotide non-coding RNA. NCBI's taxonomy places the organism in Eukaryota, Metazoa, Chordata, Amphibia, Anura, Pelobatidae. The record is from the annotation of a GenBank genome assembly.